Molecule: ribosomal RNA, 253 nt
Filed under: uncultured bacterium
Lineage: Bacteria
Description: partial 16S ribosomal RNA
Rfam family: Bacterial small subunit ribosomal RNA
Source: RNAcentral
UACGAGGGGGGCGAGCGUUGUCCGGAUUUAUUGGGCGUAAAGAGCGUGUAGGCGGCCAGGUAGGUCUGCUGUGAAAACUCGAGGCUUAACCUCGAGCUGUCGGCGGAAACCAUCUGGCUAGAGUCCGGAAGAGGAGAAUGGAAUUCCCGGUGUAGCGGUGAAAUGCGCAGAUAUCGGGAAGAACACCCGUGGCGAAGGCGGUUCUCUGGGACGGUACUGACGCUGAGACGCGAAAGCGUGGGGAGCGAACAGG